GGAGGCGGAGGCGGAAGGGGCCAAGGCCCGCAGGACCAGACCUCUGGGCUGAGCCUGCCCGUUCCCCCGGACCAUGUGCACACUGACCCUGCAGUCACCUUUGAGUCAGGCGGUACUAACCAAGCGGACCUGCCUGGUGGCCCCGUCGCUCCCUGGGGUCCCAGAGCAGUGCAGAGCCACCUGAGCAGGACUGGAGUCCUCUCAGCUGGGCCCUGGAAGUGGACACCUCCGGGAAGGGGUGGGGGUACGGGCCCUCCCCAAGACUCUGUUGGGGCUCGGCCCAUGGUGACCUCAUGCUCUUGGUGUCAGGGUUGCCAGGCAGUAGGACCCCCUAGACCCCAGGGUGUGUGCAGGGAGGGUCUGUGGAGGCUGGAGGUGCCCUGCAAGGAAAACAGCCCAGGGGAAAGGGGGUGGCCCCAGUGGCCCGCAGGCAAGAAGAGGAGAAAGGGCCAUCUGAGUUGGGAUGGGAGAGUCACUCCUAGAGGGCCUUGAACCCCCCACGGGGCCUAGACUUCACUCUGCAGACUCCAGAAGGGGCCUGUGGCAGGGGCAGGGAUUGGAGGGUGGCCCCAGGGCAGCAGAGAGGCCAGCGGGAAGCCCAGUGCCACCCCUCAGGACAAAGGAGGCAGAUCUGUGCCUCCUGGACACAAAUGGGACAGUGUUUCCUUGGGGGCAGGUGGGCAGAGGUGGCCUCCCCACUGCUGGGGGCCAUGCGUCCUGGGAGGGGUCCCUCUGGAGCUGCUACUGGGAGACCAAGGGACCCCUGAGGCUCAGUGCUGCCCACCCCCCGAGGUGCCCCGCCACCGGGCCCUCCUCUGCACACCCAGGAGGGGUGUGAUCUUUGAGUGCAUCUCUGACUACAUCCAGCCUAUUCGCACGUUUGCCUGGCACCAUGGAUUCUACCUAGAGGCGGCCUCUGCUGAAUCGCUGGUGCUGUCCUCACAGGGGACCUGCUCAUAAAACAGCCCUAGCCCUGGCGCAGGGUCAGCCCGUGGGUUGUGUUUGCCCUUUGGUUUCCAGAGCUAGUGGCCACGGGGCCUGUGUUUGUUGUUUUGUGUUUCGGCUGUAAACAGAAGGGUCGGUGCAGGCAGAAUGCUACCCUGUACAUUAUCCAGGAUGUUGGGGAUAGACAGCAACUUACACAAGCUAGUGCACAUUCGGGGGCACGCUCCGGACCCCCGCCUCCCUGCCUCUGUGCCCACACAUGGGCUGUGAUAACCAGCAUGAAGUGGGCUUGCCCCAGGCAGCUGUGGUUUCUCUCCGUUUUUAAGGGAGGAGGCACCAGCCCGGUGUGUUCGGGGAGGGAGAGGACGUCAGUGCACAGAAGGAAGAGGGCACCGCGGCAUCUCCCCUCACACGCUGGCUGGCGCCGCUGGUCUUUCCCACUCACCAGAAGACCCGAGGGAGCAGCCGUAGCUCAAAAUGUAAACCCGGCAGGGCUGGGGCCCCUCAUCCUGUUGGGGGAAGCCUCAGACUAUCCGGUGUCCCUCGGCAGUGCCCGGGCUGUGCGCAGCCCCUCCUGGGGAAGCAGUCGUCUCAGGUUUGAUGUCAGAGCCACGUGGGACCCAAGGUUAGGGCUGAUCCAUAGAGGAUGAAGGAAAAGGGAUCCCCAGUUCCCGUUGUAGCAGAUGCACCAGAGCUGAGAUGGGAGCAAGGAUUAAGGUGCUCUGGUGUUCCAGGACAUUGGGAGAGACAAACCUGUUCAUCUUAUUUUUCAGGAAAAAAAGGGGAACACCCUCCUGAAGUCUUGGGGAGCCAUCAGCUGGCUUCACAGCCUCCUGGGGGUGGCUGAGAGUGUGGCCCCUGUGGGGAUGCCAGGCUGGAGGGGCCAGCUCUGGAUGCAGGUGGAGCUUUGCACCCUGCAGCUCGUGGUUCUCCCGUCUACAAAUGGCGUUGGCUUCAGCAGCUUUGCCACACCUUGGAAGAUGGGAAAAGCAUUCAGGCUCAAGCAAUCUUUGCCAAGACUGCAUCGACAGGACUCCAGAGAGGAUGAGCAGAAUUCAGACGUACGUGGCGCCCAGCUCCAGCGGGGGAGACAGUUGGUCCUCACCCAGGCGGCCAGGGUGGCAGCGGAUUCCACACGGGCGCUGUCCCUUCAGCACCUCCAGCACCGUCCUCUCGCCGGAACCUGCAAGCCCAGCCCAUUCUCUGAUCUCCUCCAGGGAGGUAACCUCGAGGCCUCCCCAGCCUCCCACGUCACUGGGCUGCACCAAACGACCAGAGAACAUGAAGGCUGCACUGCCAGGACUGGCUGCUCCUGCCGAUCGAGGCCAGUUCAUCUGUCCCCAGAGUCCUCUUUUGGUCUCCCCCACGCCGGCAGAAAGCGAACCACAGGGACUGCGGCCGCCUGCUGCCCGGGUCCCCUGGGGCUUCUCCCACUGUCCUCCCUGAAGCCUGGCGCAGAGAGGGGCCCAGAGUCGAUGGUUGUUAGAGGACAAACAAGCACGUCUGGGUCACUGCCAGGGAGAACCCAUAGGGUAACCUUGCCUAUACAGUACAGGUCACAGAGCAGCCCUCCAGAGCCCACCUCUGCUCCCCCUCAGGUGCAGGUGCAGUCCUGCUGGGUCAUGACUCCAGUCUCACAGGCUCGGCACUGGAAUGGUGGGACCAAAAGUGAAAAACCGAGGCCAGGCCAGGCGACUUAUGCCUGUAAGUCCAGAGCUUUGGGAGGCUGAGGUGGGCAGACUGCUUGAGUCCAAGAGUUUGAGACCAGCCUGGGCAACACAGAAACCCUGUCUCUACAAAACUGCGAAAAUCAUCUGGGCUGGGUGGCCUGCCUGUGAUCCUAGCUGCCCAGGAGGCUGAGGUGGGAGAACCGCUUUAAUCCAGGAGGUCCCGGCUGCAGUGAUGGCAUGAUGGCACCACUGCACUCCAGCUUCGGUAAGAGAGACCCUGUCUCAAAAAAUAAAUAAAUAAAUGAAACUUA
Non-coding RNA from Macaca mulatta (Rhesus monkey), 2926 nucleotides. NCBI's taxonomy places the organism in Eukaryota, Metazoa, Chordata, Mammalia, Primates, Cercopithecidae. The record is from RefSeq and is a predicted model, not a curated record.